GUCUUAAUUGGGCGUUAAGUUGCAGGGUAUAGACCCGAAACCCGGUGAUCUAGCCAUGGGCAGGUUGAAGGUUGGGUAACACUAACUGGAGGACCGAACCGACUAAUGUUGAAAAAUUAGCGGAUGACCUGUGGCUGGGGGUGAAAGGCCAAUCAAACCGGGAGAUAGCUGGUUCUCCCCGAAAGCUAUUUAGGUAGCGCCUCGUGAAUUCAUCUCCGGGGGUAGAGCACUGUUUCGGCUAGGGGGCCAUCCCGGCUUACCAACCCGAUGCAAACUGCGAAUACCGGAGAAUGUUAUCACGGGAGACACACGGCGGGUGCUAACGUCCGUCGUGAAGAGGGAAACAACCCAGACCGCCAGCUAAGGUCCCAAAGUCAUGGUUAAGUGGGAAACGAUGUGGGAAGGCCCAGACAGCCAGGAUGUUGGCUUAGAAGCAGCCAUCAUUUAAAGAAAGCGUAAUAGCUCACUGGUCGAGUCGGCCUGCGCGGAAGAUGUAACGGGGCUAAACCAUGCACCGAAGCUGCGGCAGCGACACUGUGUGUUGUUGGGUAGGGGAGCGUUCUGUAAGCCUGUGAAGGUGUGUCGUGAGGC
This 591-nucleotide ribosomal RNA is filed under the name Salmonella enterica subsp. enterica serovar Enteritidis. Its description in RNAcentral is "partial 23S ribosomal RNA". It matches the Rfam family "Bacterial large subunit ribosomal RNA", at positions 681 to 1269 of the family's 2925-position model. The record is from RNAcentral. Lineage: Bacteria; Pseudomonadati; Pseudomonadota; Gammaproteobacteria; Enterobacterales; Enterobacteriaceae.